Molecule: non-coding RNA, 24 nt
Filed under: Arabidopsis thaliana (thale cress)
Lineage: Eukaryota; Viridiplantae; Streptophyta; Magnoliopsida; Brassicales; Brassicaceae
Also listed under: 1 other name
Source: RNAcentral
CAGUUAAAAAGCUCGUAGUUGAAC